CAGUCGCCGCGGUAAUACGAAGGGUGCAAGCGUUACUCGGAAUUACUGGGCGUAAAGCGUGCGUAGGUGGUUGUUUAAGUCUGCUGUGAAAGCCCUGGGCUCAACCUGGGAAUUGCAGUGGAUACUGGGCGACUAGAGUAAGGUAGAGGAUAGUGGAAUUUCCGGUGUAGCAGUGAAAUGCGUAGAGAUCGGAAGGAACAUCUGUGGCGAAGGCGACUAUCUGGGCCAUUACUGACACUGAGGCACGAAAGCGUGGGGAGCAAACAGGAUUAGAUACCCCGGUAGUCCCUGUCUCUUAUAC
Molecule: ribosomal RNA, 301 nt
Filed under: uncultured bacterium
Lineage: Bacteria
Description: partial 16S ribosomal RNA
Rfam family: Bacterial small subunit ribosomal RNA
Source: RNAcentral